Hevea brasiliensis (rubber tree) is the source of this 3867-nucleotide RNA transcript. RefSeq lists it as uncharacterized. The transcript is spliced from 6 exons. NCBI's taxonomy places the organism in Eukaryota, Viridiplantae, Streptophyta, Magnoliopsida, Malpighiales, Euphorbiaceae. The record is from RefSeq and is a predicted model, not a curated record.
UCAAAACGAAUCCAAUUCGAAUCGGCCAUGGCAUUAUUCCUCAAAACAGAAACGGUCCCCUAACUUUAAAUUCCUUUCCUAUUUUACAGUCCACACUGCAGAGUCUUUCUUUCCUUAAUCGAUAUAAGACAGGCAUGGUAAUAAGCAAUUGUGUUCAACUUCAAUAUGUGGUAUGGCUUCCAUUAUCAUCGUCAAAGAUAAAGAAGAGGAAGCCUUUCGCACUCUCAGCAACUGCCAAAACUGAGCAAAUCAGGGUUUGCACAAACCGCACAUGCCGCAAGCAAGGUUCCAUGCAGACGCUAGAAAUCAUGAUGGCUCUCUCUCCUCCCGAUCUUCCCGUCAACUCAUGCGGCUGCUUGGGCCGAUGUGGUGCUGGCCCCAACGUCGCCCUUCUCCCUCAAGGGAUCAUCGUCGGCCAUUGUGGCACCGCCGCUGCAGCCGCUCGCAUUAUGGCUCGACAUAAUGAUGACGAAGUUGAUGAUGCCACAAUCCGCAAUUCUUUGGAUGCUUUUGCUCUCAGAAAGAGAGCCCGGGUUGAAUUUGAUCAGGGCAAUUUCUCCCAGGCCGACCUCCUCCUUUCGCAGGCUAUACAUCUUAAACCAUUCGGUGGUCUCCAUAUUAUUUAUAAAAGCAGGUCCCAAGUAAGAUUGUUGAUGGAAAACUAUUCGGAGGCUCUCCAAGAUGCCCAAGAAGCUUUGAAUCUGGCUCCUCAAUAUACUGAGGCAUAUAUGUGUGAAGGUGAUGCUUUCAUGGCAAUGAAACAAUAUGAUGGAGCUGAGAAGUCAUAUUCAAUGUGUUUACAGAUAGAUCCUACCAUUCGUCGCUCUAAAGCAUUCAAGGUUCGUGUUGCACAAGUUCAGGAGAAACUAAUUGCUGCAAAUAUGCCUUACAACCAGCAGUAGAAAUGAAAUCUUGAACGCAUGUAUUAUGUAGCAAAGAUUAAAUCUUGGCAUUCCUUCUUUUCCAGGAUCAACAAAGCAAGCUAAAAGCUACAUGAUUCUUGCCAGCUAAAAGCUACAUGAUUCUUUGGCAAGUUUGUUAAGACCCUUGUUCUUUGUAUCCUUCAUGUCGAAUUCAGAAGACUAGACACUAGGGGCAUGUUUACUUAUGUAAAACAGUUUUAUUUGUGUGAUAAGUUAGUGGUUGAAAGGGUGAGAGAAGGGAAAGGAGAAGACCUAAAAUGAUGUGGAUGGAUGUAGUAUCAAAAUAUUUAUAAUUUUUGAAUAUUGAUGCAAAAUUGGUCUCAAACAGAGCUGAAUGGCAAAAAAAAAAAAAAUUUCAUAUGAUCAACCCUAACUAGUUUAGUAUUAAGGAUUUAUUGUUAUUGUAUAGUUAUAAGCUAUAUAUAAUCUGUAUCUGCUCAAUGAUAAGAAUAAUAUUGGAUUUAUUAUAUACUAUAAUUAAGUAAAUUUAACUUAAGAAGUAAUUUGUAAUAAGUUGAUUUUAUUAUUUUUUUUAUAUCCAAUAAUUUGUCUUAUAUUUGAAGUUUGCUCAUACAUUCAUUUAGGGAUAACAACAGCAAAAGCUUUAAAGUUUGUUCCUUUCUAUAAAGAAGUCUUCAAAGCUAUUUCUUGUUAUAAGGCAGUCAAACCAAAAUUCUACAUCAGUGGUCCCCGCUUCCGAUGAAUAAAAAAAAAAAAGAGGAAGUUUUUGUUUUCUGCUCUUUAGUUGUUGUUAUUCUAUUGUUUUGAAUCUCUAUAACUUGUUCCUUCUCUGUAUUCUCUUUCAUGCCUUUUUUUUUUUUUCUUUCUUUAUUCUCUUCUUUUUCAUUAUUUUCUUUUUUUCAUGAAUUCUUCUACUUUAAUAUACCAUUUUAAGGCAUUGGUUUUCUCUAGCUUAAUUCUUAUACUUCUAUAUGUAUUAUACAUUUGUUAUUGUUAUUGAGUGCACUUUUUGCUUUAAACUACUUUCUCUACCUAAUAUUUAAAAAGAUAAGAAAUUUCAAAUCAGCAAACAACUGUCAAAAAUAGCAAAUUAAAAAAUUUUUAAUUUUUCCAUCUUCCUUAGAUGUGCAAUUUCAAAUUCAUCACUCAACUUUACAUAUAGUAAAAAAAAAUUAAUUACAUUUUAGAUGAUCUAAGUUGCGAUUUCAGUAAUAAUUGAGGACUGAAAUAUAAUUAAAAAAAUUUGUUAGAAUAUUUUGAUUUGUCGUUUGAGAAAAAAAAACAUAGAUUUUUUUUUAAUAUUGGUGAACUAUAGUUUUUUUUUUUUUUAUACAAAUCAGAAAAUUAAAAGGUCAAAAAUAUUUUAGAUCUUUAUUGUAAUUUUAGAAAAAGGAUUUAGGCUGAAAUUUAAAGGAAAAAAGGGAUUUUUUUUUUAUCAUAUUUGAUUAAUGGAAUCUAGGUUCAACUACCGGAUAGGAGAAAGGCAAAAGACGAACCUUUUUAAAUGUUUUAGGACUUUAUCACCCAAAAAAAAAAAAAAAAGAAAGGGGAGAUUUAGGAGUUAAUUGUAAAAACAACUAGUUUUUAGGAAUUCAAAAGGGAGUUGUUGAUUUGAAAUUUGUUAUCUUUUUAUAUGAUUUGAAAGCUUAUCUUUUGCAAAUUGAUGACAAAGAGUGAAUAAAUUAGUUAACUUGUGGAAAAUAGUAUUGACUAAUAAAGAAUAAUUUUCAAAGCAUCAAGACUUGUGUAUAAGAAAAAUAACUGUUAGUACUUGAUUAUGAAAAUUCAUUACUAAAAAGAAUUCAGAUCAAUAUGAGCCUAGAAGCUAUAAUGCAUGGUAGCCGAAGUGGAUUCAUUCCAUGAUGGGCAGCAGAAGUAACUAAAUUUCUUAGUGGUUAACAUGCGAUAGAACAUUCAAGUUGAAAAUAAGAGAUAUGAGAGAGAGAGGGGUGGGUGGGGGGGUGGGUGUGCAUUUCUAUAAUUUGUGUUGACCAAGAAUGUCUGGUUAUUGCAUGACAUUUUUUGUAACAGAAAAACUGAACUUCCUCAGUUUGUGAGAUUUGUGUUUUAUUUGGAGAACUCUUAAGAAACAGCAGUUUGAUUUAUUCAAGGAAUUCAAGAAACUAAUAUGGGCACGUGUUCUGGUGUUCCUCCAAAUCUAUGGAACCACAUUGAUGGUCAACUUCUGGCCAUUUUCACAGUGAUCACUUACUCCACAUAUGAACCAGAUUCGGCCAACCUCUGAUAAGAACAGCGAGUCAUUACCGCCUGUAAACAGUCCCAUGUACGUGUCUUUUAUGCAUCCUUCAUAGGCUGUUGAAUUCACUUGCAUCACAUUGUGCAAGCCUUUUUCGUAAUUGAACUCUGCCAGGAUAAGAUAUAUGUGGCAAAACGUCAUUCUUGAUAAUUGCAACAAUUUAAAAAAUAACCUGUUUAUGUAGUUGCAGAAUAUAAAUGUCAGCUUAGAAACUCUGUACAUGAUCGACAAUUCUGUGUGUUCUGUUCGUGUGAGAGUGUCUGCAUAUGCCUGGAACUGUUCAUUUUUGCAUGUAAACUUACCAAGGACAUCGCCAACGUGAAACUCUUUUCCCUGGACCCAGUUGGAGGAAUUGGUGAAGAGUGUCCAUCCAUCAGUGUCUCCGACUAUGUGGGUUGCUCCUAUUGCAUGAAGCACAUUAAGGUACGUAGCAAGAAGGUGGGGUACAACCAUAUUGGAGAAUGAAUGAGCUUGAAGAGGCAUUCUUUUUCUUUGAUUUCCAGUUUUUAUGUGUGAUGAUAUGUUCCAGAGGGAAUGAUAAAACUGUCACUGAUAAGUUUUGGAGGAUCACAAUGUUUUGGUGUCCUGAUUAGGUUGACAUGUAAAUUGCAUUGCUUGUCUGCUAUUACUGGCAUGUCAUGCUUGUGUUAUGCUUUGUUGUAUCAAUGAACACUAACAGGUAUGCACUAGCAUUUCAAAUGAACAGUUCUCUAGGCUGAUUUCAUU